GUCUACCAUGCAGUCGACGAUGAAGCCCAGCUUGCUGGGUGGAUUAGUGGCGAACGGGUGAGUAACACGUGAGUAACCUGCCCUUAACUCUGGGAUAAGCCUGGGAAACUGGGUCUAAUACCGGAUAGGAGCGCCUACCGCAUGGUGGGUGUUGGAAAGAUUUAUCGGUUUUGGAUGGACUCGCGGCCUAUCAGCUUGUUGGUGAGGUAAUGGCUCACCAAGGCGACGACGGGUAGCCGGCCUGAGAGGGUGACCGGCCACACUGGGACUGAGACACGGCCCAGACUCCUACGGGAGGCAGCAGUGGGGAAUAUUGCACAAUGGGCGCAAGCCUGAUGCAGCGACGCCGCGUGAGGGAUGACGGCCUUCGGGUUGUAAACCUCUUUCAGUAGGGAAGAAGCGAAAGUGACGGUACCUGCAGAAGAAGCACCGGCUAACUACGUGCCAGCAGCCGCGGUAAUACGUAGGGUGCGAGCGUUAUCCGGAAUUAUUGGGCGUAAAGAGCUCGUAGGCGGUUUGUCGCGUCUGUCGUGAAAGUCCGGGGCUUAACCCCGGAUCUGCGGUGGGUACGGGCAGACUAGAGUGCAGUAGGGGAGACUGGAAUUCCUGGUGUAGCGGUGGAAUGCGCAGAUAUCAGGAGGAACACCGAUGGCGAAGGCAGGUCUCUGGGCUGUAACUGACGCUGAGGAGCGAAAGCAUGGGGAGCGAACAGGAUUAGAUACCCUGGUAGUCCAUGCCGUAAACGUUGGGCACUAGGUGUGGGGACCAUUCCACGGUUUCCGCGCCGCAGCUAACGCAUUAAG
The sequence is a ribosomal RNA, 803 nucleotides long. It matches the Rfam family "Bacterial small subunit ribosomal RNA", at positions 46 to 864 of the family's 1533-position model.